UGUGGCGACUAUUGCGCAGGGGCGCACCUCUUCCCAUUCCGAACAGAGAAGUUAAGCCCUGCCGCGCCGAUGAUACUGCAUCAGUGUGGGAAAGUAGGUCGUCGCCCACC
This 110-nucleotide ribosomal RNA is filed under the name Candidatus Limimorpha equi. The record is from RNAcentral. Lineage: Bacteria; Pseudomonadati; Bacteroidota; Bacteroidia; Bacteroidales.